UAGCAUGCAGUCGAACGGCAGCAUGUAGCAAUACAUGUGAGAGUGGCGAACGGGUGAGUAACACGUAGGUGAUCUACCUUGGUUUUGGGGAUAGUCCGUGGAAACAUGGGGUAAUACCGGAUACGCUCUUGGGGCUUUAGUCCCUUGAGGAAAGGCGCGGAUGCGCCGAACCGAGAUGAGCCUGCGGCCCAUUAGCUGGUUGGCGGGGUAAGAGCCCACCAAGGCGACGAUGGGUAGCCGGCCUGAGAGGGUGAACGGCCACACUGGGACUGAGAUACGGCCCAGACUCCUACGGGAGGCAGCAGCUAAGAAUCUCCCGCAAUGGGCGAAAGCCUGACGGAGCGACGCCGCGUGGACGAUGAAGGCCGAAAGGUUGUAAAGUCCUUUUCUCCGGGAAGAAUAAGCCCCUCGUGAGGGGUGAUGCCGGUACCGGGGGAAUAAGGAUCGGCUAACUCCGUGCCAGCAGCCGCGGUAAUACGGAGGAUCCGAGCGUUAUCCGGAUUUACUGGGUUUAAAGGGUGCGUAGGCGGGCGCUUAAGUCGGCGGUGAAAGGCAGCGGCUCAACCGUUGGACUGCCGUAGAAACUGGGCGCCUUGAAUUCGGUCGAGGCCGGCGGAAUGCGUGGUGUAGCGGUGAAAUGCUUAGAUAUCACGCGGAACGCCGAUUGCGAAGGCAGCUGGCCGGGCCGAUAUUGACGCUGAGGCACGAAAGCGUGGGGAUCAAACAGGAUUAGAUACCCUGGUAGUCCACGCCGUAAACGAUGAUGGCUGGAUGUUGGCGACACACCGUCAGCGUCUGAGCGAAAGCAUUAAGCCAUCCACCUGGGGGAGUACGAUCGCAAAGGUUGAAACUCAAAGGGAAUUGACGGGGGGCCCGCACAAGCGGGAGGAACAUGUGGGUUUAAUUC
Molecule: ribosomal RNA, 907 nt
Filed under: uncultured bacterium
Lineage: Bacteria
Description: bacterial SSU rRNA
Rfam family: Bacterial small subunit ribosomal RNA
Source: RNAcentral